AAGAAAAAUAAUAAAACAGACAAAAAAACUAUUUUAAAUGAAAAUCGCCUUGCCAAUUUUUAAGAAAACAACUUUUUGGGUUUUUAAUCACUAGUCCGUCGCGUGUACCGAACUGGAAGACUGUGAAAAGGAUGGAGUGUGGUGCUGUGGAGAACUCGAGCUGCAGUAAUCAAACGAAACGACGUUCAUUACUGAUUUUCCGUGUACCUCUACCAAUACUUUCC
Long non-coding RNA from Aphis gossypii (cotton aphid), 224 nucleotides. RefSeq lists it as uncharacterized. The record is from RefSeq and is a predicted model, not a curated record. The transcript has 3 exons. NCBI's taxonomy places the organism in Eukaryota, Metazoa, Arthropoda, Insecta, Hemiptera, Aphididae.